UAAAUCUAUGGUGCGGUGCAAUAAAUGC
This 28-nucleotide small RNA is filed under the name Bombyx mori (domestic silkworm). RNAcentral describes it as "ovarian small RNA-2840". Lineage: Eukaryota; Metazoa; Arthropoda; Insecta; Lepidoptera; Bombycidae. The record is from RNAcentral.